Molecule: long non-coding RNA, 547 nt
Filed under: Gallus gallus (chicken)
Lineage: Eukaryota; Metazoa; Chordata; Aves; Galliformes; Phasianidae
Source: RNAcentral
CUGCAGAAUUACCAGUCUUCCCACCCAACUUCACCUUCAUGAGCUCCUUGGCAUCUCCCUCGAGAGUAAUUGUAUGCAAGGACAACAGCAGAUUCUCUGUUACUACAACUAAAGCAUCUCUUUUCUCCAUGAACAGAAGCUUCUGUACAAGGUUGUCAGCUGACAAUACGUGGCUUGUCUUUCCUUUCUCAUUCACGUAGUGCACAGAACCGUCAGUCAAGGUGAUAAAGAAGGACAGUCCUUCUUGGAGUCCCAUUUUCAGAGGUGCUUCUGUUCCAGCUUUUCUCCAGUUAAACAUAUCCAAGGCUUUCUCAUCACCACUCACAGCAGCUUUUGCCAGCUGUAGGAAGUCUCUGCAAACAAGAGAUACUUCAUUUCCCUAUACUUAAAUUCCCUACAUAACAGAGUACAUUCCAUCCUAAAGAAAGGAAUGAAUAUUUCAUAGUAUUGUGAAGAGAGAAGAAAGAUGCUUCAUACACUGGUUGGAAACCAACUAACCCCAAAAAGAUAUAAAGCUCAUUUAGUACCGGUUUUCACUUGUAUUGCU